RNAcentral lists this unclassified non-coding RNA (353 nucleotides) under soil metagenome. RNAcentral describes it as "partial contains 5.8S ribosomal RNA, internal transcribed spacer 2, and large subunit ribosomal RNA". The stretch from base 1 to 120 matches the Rfam family "5.8S ribosomal RNA", at positions 35 to 154 of the family's 154-position model. The record is from RNAcentral.
GAUGAAGAACGUAGCGAAAUGCGAUAAGUAAUGUGAGUUGCAGAAUUCAGUGAAUCAUCGAAUCUUUGAACGCACAUUGCGCCCGCCAGUAUUCUGGCGGGCAUGCCUGUUCGAGCGUCAUUACAACCCUCAGGCCCCCGGGCCUGGCGUUGGGGAUCGGCGGAAGCCCCCUGCGGGCACAACGCCGUCCCCCAAAUACAGUGGCGGUCCCGCCGCAGCUUCCAUUGCGUAGUAGCUAACACCUCGCAACUGGAGAGCGGCGCGGCCACGCCGUAAAACACCCAACUUCUGAAUGUUGACCUCGAAUCAGGUAGGAAUACCCGCUGAACUUAAGCAUAUCAAUAAGCGGAGGA